Solanum dulcamara is the source of this 495-nucleotide long non-coding RNA. RefSeq lists it as uncharacterized. The transcript has 2 exons. The record is from RefSeq and is a predicted model, not a curated record. NCBI's taxonomy places the organism in Eukaryota, Viridiplantae, Streptophyta, Magnoliopsida, Solanales, Solanaceae.
UUGUCUUCCUUCUUCAACAACAUCAUCUAGGGUUUAGCUCUACAUUCUCUACAAGCAGCCGAUUCAGUGGCCGCCAUUGUAGAAUUUUGUAGUUCUAGUUUUCAUAUAUCAACCGUAUUUUGUAUGUUUUGCACUUCGCAUUUCUACAGGCUUCGCUAAAUUCUCAAAAUAGCGAGUCUUUCAGCGAUUUUAGUGCAUAAAGGAAAAGCUGAAUUUAUCAGCGGCGGCCAGACAACCGUUGAGAUGAAUCCACAGAUGGAUGAAGUUAGUAGAUGGUAUUUUCAACUUUGGCUCUGCUAAAAUAUGUAAGAGCUUGAUGAAAGGCAAGGAGAGGGGAUGAGAAGCUAUUAUUUGGUUGUAUAUGAAUUUUGCUAGUUUCUUGGGUUAUUAGGAGUUACGUUUACAAGGAAUUUUUUUUAUCAUAAUUGUAAUUUGAUAGCAACCAUUGCUGCAUUGCAUUGUAUAUACAGGGAAGUAAUAGUUGUUUCUUAUUCU